AUGAAGACCAUUUUUGUUCUUGCAUGCUGUAGCUAUCGCUACCGCCUCGGCCAUUCCGGAUUUUCUGCCCUGAAGGAUGACUUCCAGGAGUUUGUCGAUCUCGUUCCCGUAGACAAACUGGUCAACGUUGCUCUGCAAUAUCUCGUCAGCGAUAAGGAGUUCAAGGAAUUCUUCGGAUACCUACAGGGAGAGGAAUUCUCCGCCGUUUGGGAUCAGUUCUUCGCUCUGAAUGAAGUCAAGGAUGUGCUGAACUACCUGGAGGCUGCAGAUCUGGCUGUGUACGAUGCGUUGAACACGGUUGCUGAUUUCCUUGGACUGCACCAUGUUAAGCCAACCGUCCAUAGCUUGAGAACUGGAGGAUUGACCGGAUUCUUCGACGAAACGGUUGCUUUAUUGCCUCUGGAUAAAUUUGAAGCGCUGUUUGAAGAGAAACUGAAGACCAGCCCCGAGUUCAAGGCUUUCUUCGAGAAGCUACGCAACCUGGAUUACCAGAAGUUUGUCGAUUUUCACAAUAACUCCAAGGAAGUCCAAGGCUAUCUGCAGAAGCUGCGAAGCUACGGACUCGAUGUGGAUGGCUUCUUCAAUCUCGUUGCCGGUUUCUUCGGCUGGGGAAAAUUCUAGAAUU
Aedes aegypti (yellow fever mosquito) is the source of this 625-nucleotide RNA transcript. It is a transcript of the gene named protein G12-like, with no coding region annotated. The record is from RefSeq and is a predicted model, not a curated record. The transcript is spliced from 3 exons. NCBI's taxonomy places the organism in Eukaryota, Metazoa, Arthropoda, Insecta, Diptera, Culicidae.